UGCGUUGACGAGGCCACAUUAU
This 22-nucleotide non-coding RNA is filed under the name Arabidopsis thaliana (thale cress). Lineage: Eukaryota; Viridiplantae; Streptophyta; Magnoliopsida; Brassicales; Brassicaceae. The record is from RNAcentral.